This 253-nucleotide ribosomal RNA is filed under the name uncultured bacterium. Its description in RNAcentral is "partial 16S ribosomal RNA". It matches the Rfam family "Bacterial small subunit ribosomal RNA", at positions 524 to 776 of the family's 1533-position model. The record is from RNAcentral.
UACGAGGGGGGCAAGCGUUGUUCGGAAUUAUUGGGCGUAAAGGGUGCGUAGGCGGUUUUGUAAGUCUUGUGUGAAAUCUUCAGGCUCAACUUGAAGACUGCACGAGAAACUGCAGGGCUUGAGUGUGGGAGAGGUGAGUGGAAUUCCUGGUGUAGCGGUGAAAUGCGUAGAUAUCAGGAGGAGCACCUGUGGCGAAAGCGGCUCACUGGACCACAACUGACGCUGAGGCGCGAAAGCCAGGGGAGCAAACGGG